GAAAUGCGAUAAGUAGUGUGAAUUGCAGAAUUCAGUGAAUCAACGAAUCUUUGAACGCACAUUGCGCCCCUUGGUAUUCCAUGGGGCAUGCCUGUUCGAGCGUCAUUUGUACCCUCAAGCUCUGCUUGGUGUUGGGUGUUUGUCCCCGUCUCCGCGCGUGGACUCGCCCCAAAGUGAUUGGCAGCCGGCGUACUGGUCCCGGAGCGCAGCACAUGUCGCGCAAACGAGUGCCUUGGUACGGCGGCGUCCAUAAGCCCCUCUCUCACGCUCUUGACCUCGGAUCAGGUAGGGAUACCCGCUGAACUUAAGC
RNAcentral lists this unclassified non-coding RNA (310 nucleotides) under plant metagenome. RNAcentral describes it as "partial contains 5.8S ribosomal RNA, internal transcribed spacer 2, and large subunit ribosomal RNA". The stretch from base 1 to 105 matches the Rfam family "5.8S ribosomal RNA", at positions 50 to 154 of the family's 154-position model. The record is from RNAcentral.